RNAcentral lists this ribosomal RNA (495 nucleotides) under uncultured bacterium. RNAcentral describes it as "partial 16S ribosomal RNA". It matches the Rfam family "Bacterial small subunit ribosomal RNA", at positions 28 to 507 of the family's 1533-position model. The record is from RNAcentral.
GACGAACGCUGGCGGCGUGCCUAAUACAUGCAAGUAGAACGCUGAAGGCGGAGCUUGCUUCUCUGGAUGAGUUGCGAACGGGUGAGUAACGCGUAGGUAACCUGCCUGGUAGCUGGGGAUAACUAUUGGAAACGAUAGCUAAUACCGCAUAAUAGCAGCUAUUGCAUGAUAACUGUUUGAAAGGUGCAAUUGCACCACUACCAGAUGCGCCUGCGUUGUAUUGGCUAGUUGGUGGGGUAACGGCGCACCAAGGCGACGAUACAUAGCCGCCAUGAGAUGGGGAUCGGCCACACUGGGAGUGUGACACGGCCCAGACGCAUACGGGAGGCAGCAGUAGGGAAUCUGCGGCAAUGGGCGGAAGUCAGACCGAGCAACGCCGCGUGAGUGAAGAAGGUCUUCGGGUCGGAAAGCUCGGUUGUAAGGGAAGAACGAGUGUGAGAGUGGAAAGUACACACUGUGACGGUAACGUACAAGAAAGGGACGGCUAACUACGUG